UCCAGACUCCUACGGGAGGCAGCAGUGGGGAAUAUUGCACAAUGGGGGAAACCCUGAUGCAGCGACGCCGCGUGAGCGAUGAAGUAUUUCGGUAUGUAAAGCUCUAUCAGCAGGGAAGAAGAUGACGGUACCUGACUAAGAAGCCCCGGCUAACUACGUGCCAGCAGCCGCGGUAAUACGUAGGGGGCAAGCGUUAUCCGGAUUUACUGGGUGUAAAGGGAGCGUAGACGGCGAUGCAAGCCAGAUGUGAAAGCCCGGGGCUCAACCCCGGGACUGCAUUUGGAACUGUGUGGCUGGAGUGUCGGAGAGGCAGGCGGAAUUCCUAGUGUAGCGGUGAAAUGCGUAGAUAUUAGGAGGAACACCAGUGGCGAAGGCGGCUUUCUGGCUCAUAACUGACGCUGAGGCGCGAAAGCGUGGGGAGCAAACAGGAUUAGAUACCCCAGUAAAU
Molecule: ribosomal RNA, 448 nt
Filed under: uncultured bacterium
Lineage: Bacteria
Description: bacterial SSU rRNA
Rfam family: Bacterial small subunit ribosomal RNA
Source: RNAcentral